CUCCUUCCCUCUCUUUCUUUCUUGCUCCGGGGCGUGACCAGCAAAGCAAUGGCGUUGGAGACCUGCUUCAGAGCCUGGGCUCUGCACGCGCCCCAGGCCGGCGGCGUCAGGGACAGGCCUAGCGGCAUCAGCAGCAGCAGCUACGCCCCGUCCAGGCCCAGAACCACCGCCGCCGCCGCCGUCGUCUCGCCGUCUCCUUCCGCCCUGCAGCAGCUGGCCCCCCGGCGGCCGCCGUCCCGCUUCGUCUGCCACUGCAAGAACGCCGUCGACGAAGGUACAAUCCAUCUCCCGAGGUGAAAUCAAUCUGUAAUCGCUUGAGUCCUGAGUGGUGGGGUGUUAAUGGCGGAUGUAGUG
This 354-nucleotide long non-coding RNA is filed under the name Brachypodium distachyon (stiff brome). RNAcentral's name for it is "long non-coding RNA (BDIS_LNC005315)". Lineage: Eukaryota; Viridiplantae; Streptophyta; Magnoliopsida; Poales; Poaceae. The record is from RNAcentral.